RNAcentral lists this ribosomal RNA (497 nucleotides) under uncultured bacterium. RNAcentral describes it as "partial 16S ribosomal RNA". It matches the Rfam family "Bacterial small subunit ribosomal RNA", at positions 28 to 507 of the family's 1533-position model. The record is from RNAcentral.
GAUGAACGCUGGCGGCGUGCCUAAUACAUGCAAGUCGAGCGAACAGACGAGGAGCUUGCUCCUCUGACGUUAGCGGCGGACGGGUGAGUCACACGUGGAUAACCUACCUAUAAGACUGGGAUAACUUCGGGAAACCGGAUCUAAUACCGGAUAAUAUAUUGAACCGCAUGGUGCAAUAGUGAAAGACGGUUUUGCUGUCACUUAUAGAUGGAUCCGCGCCGUAUUAGCUAGUUGGGAAGGUAACGGCUUACCAAGGCGACGAUGCGUAGCCGAACUGAGAGGGUGAUCGGCCACACUGGAACUGAGACACGGUCCAGACUCCUACGGGAGGCAGCAGUAGGGAAUCUUCCGCAAUGGGCGAAAGCCUGACGGAGCAAGGCCGCGUGAGUGAUGAAGGUCUUCGGAUCGUAAAACUCUGUUAUUAGGGAAGAACAACUGUGUAAGUAACUAUAGACGUCUUGACGGUACCUAAUCAGAAAGCAACGGCUAACUACGUG